Molecule: ribosomal RNA, 397 nt
Filed under: uncultured bacterium
Lineage: Bacteria
Description: bacterial SSU rRNA
Rfam family: Bacterial small subunit ribosomal RNA
Source: RNAcentral
GUGUCAGCAGCCGCGGUAAUACGUAGGGGGCAAGCGUUGUCCGGAUUUAUUGGGCGUAAAGAGCUCGUAGGCGGUUUGGUAAGUCGGAUGUGAAAUCUCCACGCUCAACGUGGAGGCGCCAUUCGAUACUGCCAUGACUUGAGUACGGUAGAGGAGUGUGGAAUUCCUGGUGUAGCGGUGAAAUGCGCAGAGAUCAGGAGGAACACCCGUAGCGAAGGCGGCACUCUGGGCCGAUACUGACGCUGAGGAGCGAAAGCGUGGGGAGCAAACAGGAUUAGAUACCCUGGUAGUCCACGCCGUAAACGUUGGGCACUAGGUGUGGGGCGCUAUCGACGCGUUCCGUGCCGUAGCUAACGCAUUAAGUGCCCCGCCUGGGGAGUACGGCCGCAAGGCUAAA